This 1141-nucleotide long non-coding RNA is filed under the name Homo sapiens (human). RNAcentral describes it as "HSALNT0376933". Lineage: Eukaryota; Metazoa; Chordata; Mammalia; Primates; Hominidae. The record is from RNAcentral.
GGACACAGCAAGACCCUGUCUCAAAAAAAAGGAAAAAAAAGAAGAUGACCAUCUUUUACUGCCCAACGACAUCUUUCUACCAAUGUGAACAGAGACUAGCAGCACAGUGAUCACCUGCAGAUAGACCUGGCUUUAUCUGUACAUAACACCAAAAGAAAAAACCUGGAUUCCAGAAGGAAAUAAAGAUUUUCAGUCCCUGCAAGAAUUCUCAAUGUUCUUCACAUAAUUUGGAGAAGAGAGAGACACAGGGGGAAGAUGGCCAUGUGAAGAUGGAGGCAGAGACUGGAGUGAUACAUCCACAAGCUAUGGAAUGCCAAGGUUUGCCAGCCAUUUAUAAGAAGCUAGGAGACAGGCGUGGAACACAUUCUCCCUCUGAACCCUCAGAAGGAACCAACACUGCCGACAUUUUGAUUCCGGACUUCUGACCUCCAGAACAAGAACCCAGACUAGCCCCAGCACUCCAGGCAAUCACCACCAAACAAUGAGAGUUGGCACAGGAUACAAGACUUCUGUCCUUCUAUGACAUGGAUUUCUUCAGCAUCCAGGUUUGCAGACUAAUGAGCAUCACCUUAAAGUAGGGCAGUGUAACUUCCUGGAAAUCAACAAUAUGUACCGUCUAAUGCCUCUUUACGCUGCAGCUCUGGGCAGACUGUAGAAUGGCCAGGCUAGCCUGCCAUGUGGGGAAACCAAUCCUGAGUAUAACCCACAGCUCCUUGUCCAUGCAAUGGGAGAUGGUCCUUUAAUGCCCAGCACAGAUUUUUUAUUGGAAUUUCCAAAGAGCAUAUCCCAUGAGCCUCGUUUCACCACAGAUAAUCAGACUAAUUCCUCAGACUCCACAGUGCCAAGUCUUUCCUUACUUGCUAGCUUCAGUGUCUGCUUUGGCCUCCUGCCCUGCUUAUGAAGCUCUGGCCCUCUCCACUGUAGAUUCCACAGCCCAUGACCUUGACUCAACUCUGUAUCUGACUCCAGCCACCCCGGGCUGACUUGCUGCCCCUUUCUCCUGCCAGCCAGGGCCCAGCAGCCCCAGAAUUGCCUGCCCUCUGUUGCCCCAUCUGCCCCUGGCCACCCAUCUCCAACACUGAAUCUCCCCAGAUGUGUCUGAUGUCUCAGCACUUUCCCUACUAGCAGCGAGUGGCACUCA